UCAGACCACCUGAAGGAUGUAAUUGAAUUUCCCAGCAUGUGGUAGCCAAAGUUGUAAUUACUUUCAGGACCUAUGAGCACUGGAGCCUCCAUCUGUGGUGAGAGGCUGCUCACCAGCUGUGGCUAAUGAUGAGGAGCCUCUGUAAGGGCCUUUUGGAUGUGCUGCCCAGAAUGAAGUUGGUCCUGCUUGUUGUUCCUUGUAGUCUUCAGAUGGCUGAUGGUGUUGUGGAGCUGUAUCUGCUGUAGGUGCUGAGAAGGAUAGAAGCAGUUUUUGUGGACUGAGCUUUGUAGGUCUCUGCUAAAAAUUACUGUGAAGGAGCGGGAAUGUCUACAAAAGAUUGUACUAGUGAGAACAUGAAUACAGUUGUUCUGUCCCUGUGAGGGUUACAGUCCCUAUUGCUGCUGCUGCUGCUGCUGCCAGGAGCUCUUUCUGCUUAUUAUUCCUUCGAGUCCUGCUUUCCUGGACACCAGCUGUCACAGAGGAAGUCUCCAGCUUUUUCGUCCCCUGCUUCCCUGGCUGGCUGAAGUUGCAGCAGCAUGGUCUGGAGCGUCUCCUUCACCACCUGGAUCUCCCUCUGCAGAGACUGUGCAAGCUUUAUUAAGGAAUAAUUCUAUAGGUGAUUGGCAGCUCCUUUUCUCUUUCCAAGUUAUUUAAUAAAUGGUUGUUCUGCUCACACCAGAUGGCCAUGGCUAUCUAAUUGUAGCUUCAAGUUCUUCCAAAUUAUUUAGAUUAAAUAUUAAUACAUUUA
Long non-coding RNA from Phasianus colchicus (ring-necked pheasant), 748 nucleotides. RefSeq lists it as uncharacterized. Lineage: Eukaryota; Metazoa; Chordata; Aves; Galliformes; Phasianidae. The record is from RefSeq and is a predicted model, not a curated record.